Molecule: long non-coding RNA, 1368 nt
Filed under: Homo sapiens (human)
Lineage: Eukaryota; Metazoa; Chordata; Mammalia; Primates; Hominidae
Description: non-protein coding lnc-TMEM167A-3:2
Source: RNAcentral
CUCGCUAUUGUUCCAUCUGCAACUGAGCACCUUUUCUGCAGAAAGUAAAGACAGCCUUGCUAAGAGAUCAUUUGUCUCCAAGCUGACUUUUCUUUGCAGCACCGAUUAUCUAUUUCUAACAAUUUUGGGGGCUCGUCCAGGAUUACAGUCUCCUCUAGGGUGGGUCUCCAGUCCUCUCUUGUGAGAAGGCAUGCCCCACUACCUCGUUUUUGGCAGCCUCAGGGGUGAGGAACCGAGAUCCACCCAGUGUGAUGAAUAAACUGGGACUCUCAGCAACGUGGAAAGAAACUGGCUAGCAACGUAGGGUAAAGGAUCCUCACAUACUGCGGUAAUGACUCUGCACAGACCAAGGAAGGAGAAACCAUGGGAGCUGGUCUUUCAGCAGAGGCGCCGCCUUUGGAGUUUCCAGUACAUCAGCAUCGGCCUGGGGAUCACGUUCUCAUCAAAGGGUGGAAAGAAGGGAAACUUGAGCCAGCCUGGGAAGGACCCUGCAUUGUGCUGCUAACCACCGAGAUUGCUGUUUGUACAGCAGAAAAGGAUGGACACAUCACACCCUAGUCAAGCAAGUGCCAUUAUCAUCAGAAUCAUGGGUCAUUGUUCCUGGACAAUCCUCUACCAAAUUAAACCUAAAAAAAGCUUAGUCCAUCUAUCUUUUCCUUUCCUUUCCUUACCCAGUGCUUAUAUCCAUUACUAUUCCUACCACUAGCAACUCUUACCCCACUUUAGAGCACUUCUAUGGUUUAGGAGCAGAAGUCACUGGAAAGGAUCCUAUAGGCUUCUUCAAGGUAUGCUUUGUUCUCCCUCCUCCACCUCCUAUGGCUGCCCCUUUCCCAAACCUAUGAAAUCAAACUAUGACUCGCCUCAUGCCAAGUGACAAAAGCAAGGUCUCAGUAGUAGAAAUAGGAGACCUAAGGCAAACCAUAGCCAUUGAAACAGGGUAUAAAGAUGUAAAUGCCUGGUUAAAAUGGAUUAAAUGUUCUGUCCACAUGUUAAACAAAGGCAAUUGUUAUGCUUGUGUGCACUGCAGGCCAGAGGCCCAGAUUGUCCCCUUUCUACUAGGGCGGUCCUCCAGUCGACCGGGCGUGGGCUGCAUGGCAGCUCUCUUACAGGAUUCUACAGCCUGCGGUAACAAGUUGUGCCAAGUUCUCUCUCUGCUAUAUCCCAAAUUUCAACACCCUGCAGGUCAGCCCCCGAGGGCCAUCCAGCUUCCAUCUCCCAACACAAAGUUCACUAAGUGUCUCAGACUGAGAGACAGGACUAGCUGGAUUUCCUAGGCUGACUAAGAAUCCCUAAGCCUAGCUGAGAAGGUGACCACAUCCACUUUUAAACACGGGGCUUGCAACUGAGCUUACACCUGACCAAUCAGAG